GUGAGCGGAAUCCUGACUGGUUCAUCCUCCCCGGAACUUCCUAGACGCCGUACGUGCCAGAUGGUGUUACCUGGAGCUUAAAAAGCUGCACGCAAGUGUUAAACUUCUGACAAUGGCCAAGAACAAAUUAAGAGGGCCGAAGUCCAGGAAUGUAUUUCACAUAGCCAGCCAAAAAAACUUUAAGGCUAAAAACAAAGCAAAACCAGUUACCACUAAUCUUAAGAAGGUGAGUAUUAGUUAAGCACUCUGACUUUAUUGUUUACAAGCAAAGUGUCAUUGUAAGCUACUGAACAGCUGUAUACUAUUACUUUUUAAAAAGGUUCUUCAUUUUUCCUAGAAAGGUAAGGAUGGUUUCAAGCAUUUGUCUAAAAAAAUAUAAAAAAAAAGGAAGAAAAAUAACCUCCCUUUCUUGAAAACAAAUGUUGAAAAGAAAUAAACAUUUUAACUACAAAUGUGUGAAGCUUCAAUUUAAUAGUUUUACUGAACCAUAGAACUCAUUUAAAAACCAUAGUAUGGGAAACAGUUCUUAUCUCUAAACUCAAAUGUAAGAAUGUAUUAAUAGAGGCAAGACAUGGGAUGUCAGUGAGCACCCAUUCUUUUUCUCCUCAGUAAUUCUUGUAUCUUUGAAGACAUCUGCAAUUCAAACAAAAACCUGUAAAAUGAAGAUAAAAAAUAUUUAUUGAAAUGCACAAUUUGAAAGGGGUUUCUUUUCUUUGUUUAUAUUUCAAAAUACCUGAGAAAUUUCUACAAGAUUUAAGAAAAAUUUUUAAGAAAAUGUUUUCAAGUUUCAGUAGUAGAU
This 799-nucleotide long non-coding RNA is filed under the name Homo sapiens (human). Its description in RNAcentral is "non-protein coding lnc-CA1-2:1". The record is from RNAcentral. Lineage: Eukaryota; Metazoa; Chordata; Mammalia; Primates; Hominidae.